GCUCUUCCAGGAAAGUCAUUUUGCAAACAUCUCAAAAUUAUUCUGGCCCAAAAAAGAUGCAACUCCGUACUUAGCAUAAAUUUCUAAAUUAAAACAAGCUUAUCACCAAGGGCUUGUAAAACUCCCAAGUAACUGAUAUCUUCCUAUGUUGUAGCAGAACUGAAGAACAAACAAUUUCUAAAACAAGACCCCCUAAAACAUUAACAUUGGAAAUAUGCCUGAACAGAAAUUUUAAUAGAGAUAGAAAACACAAUACAAU
This 259-nucleotide unclassified non-coding RNA is filed under the name Hevea brasiliensis (rubber tree). The record is from RNAcentral. Lineage: Eukaryota; Viridiplantae; Streptophyta; Magnoliopsida; Malpighiales; Euphorbiaceae.